Molecule: ribosomal RNA, 434 nt
Filed under: uncultured Clostridium sp.
Lineage: Bacteria; Bacillati; Bacillota; Clostridia; Eubacteriales; Clostridiaceae
Description: partial 16S ribosomal RNA
Rfam family: Bacterial small subunit ribosomal RNA
Source: RNAcentral
ACGGAAGGCAGCAGUGGGGAAUAUUGCACAAUGGGCGAAAGCCUGAUGCAGCGACGCCGCGUGAGUGAAGAAGUAUUUCGGUAUGUAAAGCUCUAUCAGCAGGGAAGAAAAUGACGGUACCUGACUAAGAAGCCCCGGCUAACUACGUGCCAGCAGCCGUGGUAAUACGUAGGGGGCAAGCGUUAUCCGGAUUUACUGGGUGUAAAGGGCGCGUAGGCGGGAUAGCAAGUCAGAUGUGAAAUCUAUGGGCUUAACCCAUAAACUGCAUUUGAAACUGUUAUUCUUGAGUGUCGGAGAGGUAGACGGAAUUCCUAGUGUAGCGGUGAAAUGCGUAGAUAUUAGGAAGAACACCGGUGGCGAAGGCGGUCUACUGGACGAUAACUGACGCUGAGGCGCGAAAGCGUGGGGAGCAAACAGGAUUAGAUACCCUGGUA